AUGGCCUCCGACCUCGGGCAACCGCCGCCGGCGAAACGCCCGCCGACGGCGCCCACCACCAUUACUGCUAUCGGCGACGACCUCCUUUGUGAGAUCUUCCUCCUCCUUCCCUCCCUUCCGAGCCUCGUCCGCGCCGCGCUCGCCUGCCGCACCUUCCUCCACGCCGUCCGUUCGUCCCCCGCCUUCCGCCGCCGAUUCCGGGCACUCCACCCGCCGCAGAUCCUUGGCUUCUUCUGCGACCCCGGCCGCGAAGCCGUCCCUCCCUUCGUCCCCCUCCGCAGCCGCUCCGACCCGGACCUAACGGCCGCCGUCCGCGGCGCCGAUUUCCUCCUCACCCGGAUCCCAGAAGACAGCGGCGACUCCACCCUCGGGUGGGAGCUGCAGAGCUUCCACGGCGGCUACGUCGUCCUCGUCAACAAUGCCACCGACCAGAUCGCUGCCUACAACCCCCUCACGCAGGCACUGCAUCUCUUCCCCCACCCGCCCGAGGAUAUCAUCUUCUCCAUCUCCCCUGAGUUCCACAUCCUCUUCUCGGAAGAGGACCAGAGCGUGUUCCGUAUGGUCUGUGUCCAGCACCAGGACACGCCGAGCCUAGCCGUCUUCUCAACGGCGACCAGCGAGUGGCAGGUUUUUCCGUGGGUGGAGACCCCGCCACAUCCUGAAGGCGACGUUCGCUUGUUCUACCCUGGCACGCAGCUGAAUGGAUUUGUCUAUUGGAAACACGCGAGCCAAGCCUAUGUGCUCGCUCUCAACACCGUGACAAUGCAAUUUUCUAGAUUGAGCUUGCCGCAUUUCUUGGCAGAGAUAGAGGAUAUGCUGUUUAGGCUUGGCCAGACCAAGGAUGGGAAGCUCUGUAUGGUUGGGGUAGAUGACUCUGACGCAAAGAUAGGAACACUUGUUGUUCGUGUUUGGGGAGCCGAUGAUGACGGUGUUGAGAAAUGGAUGCUGGAAGAUACUUUUUCACUGAGUACAUUCAUUGAUGUCACUAAGUCUUCAACAGAGUAUGAUUCCACGGUGCAGAUUGAGGCAUUUAUCGAUGGCUUUGUGUACCUCUGUAUUAAGUAUGGUGAGCAUACCGAGUCCCUCAUAUCCCUCUGCCUGGAAACAGGAAAGCUAAACAAGAUAUUUGAUGAUACAUAUACAAGCCCUGCUCAUCCCUACUUCAUGUCAUGGCCUCCUUCUUUGGUAUGCAACAAGGUGAGCCCGUGCUUGAGUACCCUGGUAAAGUAUUUUCAGAUGUUUGGUCCUUAG
RNAcentral lists this ribosomal RNA (1251 nucleotides) under Triticum aestivum (bread wheat). RNAcentral describes it as "partial small subunit ribosomal RNA". The record is from RNAcentral. Lineage: Eukaryota; Viridiplantae; Streptophyta; Magnoliopsida; Poales; Poaceae.